This 14131-nucleotide long non-coding RNA is filed under the name Capsicum annuum. RNAcentral's name for it is "long non-coding RNA (CANN_LNC013203)". The record is from RNAcentral. Lineage: Eukaryota; Viridiplantae; Streptophyta; Magnoliopsida; Solanales; Solanaceae.
GGGACUCUUCAAUUCCUUAAUUGUUUGUUUUCUAAUUACCUUUUCUAUAUUUCACUCAUCACAAGCUCAAGAUUCUCCUCAAGAUUAUCUUAACGCUCACAAUGAAGCUCGUAGACAAAUUGGGGUCGGCUCUAUGACAUGGGACAAUAAGCUAGAGGCCUUUGCCCAAAAUUAUGCCAAUAAAAGAAUUGGGGAUUGCCGGAUGCAGCACUCCAGUGGCCCUUACGGCGAAAACCUAGCUGUUGGCUACCCUCAGCUCCAUGCUGCUGGUGCCGUGAAAAUGUGGGUCAAUGAGAAUCAAUGGUACAAUUAUAAUACAAAUACUUGUGCACCAGAAAAAGUAUGUGGACACUAUACUCAGGUUGUGUGGCAAAACUCGGUACGUCUUGGUUGUGCUAGGGUACGUUGCAACAACGGAUCGUAUUUUAUAAUUUGCAAUUAUGAUCCACCAGGUAACUGGAGAGGAAAACGUCCCUAUGGUGAUCUUGAAGAACAACAACUGGCCUUUGAUUCCAAGUUGGAACUUCCCAGUGAUGUCUAAGAGUAAAUAAAAUCAUGAAUAAUGCUUAAUUCACGUGUUAAUGAAAAUAAAACCCAGUACUAUUUGCUAUAUAUGUUGGAUGUUAUCUUACUAGCUCAGUUGGAUAAUUAUCCAAUGGUGCAGAUCUAGUGACUGGUUAACCUAGGGGAAAUAUGUUGUCUACAUUGAUAUUCAUAUGGACCCUUGCAUGUUGUUUAAUUUAAUCCAAUCACUUUAUAUAUGAGUAUUUUGUCUACUUUAUUUUAUUCAUGUUCCUAUUUUACAACUUUGGCACUAUGGGGUGUGGGUUGUAUUUUCUAGUUUAAAUCUAUAUACGGACAAUAUACUAUUUUUUUACACACUAUUAAUUAAGUCAUCAAGAAAUAAUUCAUAACAACAAAUAAAUUAAUAUAACCUCGAAAAUCUGCUACAACAUCUGAGCAUGUUAAAUACUCUGAUAAAUUAAAAUUAUUUUUUCGUACACUAACAUAAUGUGUGCAAGUUAAAUAGGUAAUUUUGACCGUUGUACUAAUUCACAAGCCUAUUUUUGUUAAUUGUUUUAUAUACAUUUCUAAGUGUUCUAUCUUGAUAUGAUAUAAUAUUUUUUGGACCGCUACUCCUACUUUUCGGGUGUGCAUGGUGUAAACGCAACAACAACAACAACAAAUCCAGUGUAUUCUCAUAAAGUGAGGUCUAGGGAGGGUAAAAUGUACGUAGUCCAUGUCACUACCUCCGAAGAAGUAGAGAGGCUGUUUCCGAUAGACCCUCGGCUUAGGCUAAAGAAUAGUACACAAGGUCGUAGUGAAACAUGAAGCAGGAUGGAUGACAUAACGUAAAUAAGGAAUAAGCAAUAAUAAAAUAGAUAUCAUAGAUAUAUGAAAUAAGAGAAAUAUGAGUAAUUGAAAAAAAGAAAAAAGAGAUAGGACACCCACCUUGUAGUAAUACACACCCACAGACCAAAGACACCAACCACACAAACCCUACUAACUAGGGGCUCCUACUAAUGGACACAAUCCUAUGCUUACUAACCCAGUUACACAAGAUCUCUACUAACAUCUUGCUACAACCCACACACUCACAAUAGCCUUCUAUCCUUAUCCGCAACCUCCACAGCUUCCUAUCUAGGGUCAUGUCCUCAGUAAGCUGAAGCUGCUCCAUGUCAUGUCUAAUUAUCUAUCUCCAGUAUUUUUUCGGCCUACCUCUACUCCUUAUAAAGUCAUCAAAAGCUAACCUCUCGCAUCUACGAACUGGGGCAUCCGUGCCCCUCCUCAUCACAUGUCCAAACUAUUUCAGCCUUUCUUCUCGCAACUUGUCCUCCACUGAAGCCACUCCCAUCUUCUCCCUGAUAGUCUCAUUCCUAACUUUAUCCCCUCUAGUAAGUCCACACAUCCAACACAACAUUCUCAUUUUCGCCACCAUCAAUCGUUGAAUGUGGGAGUUUUUGACUGGCAAACACUCCGCUCCAUAUAGCAUGGCCGGCCGGACUGCCACUCUGUAGAAUUUGCCUUUAAGCUUAAGGGGAACCUUCUUAUCGUACAACACCCUUCAUCCAACCUGCUCUAAUACGUUUAGAGACAUCCUCAUUAAUCUUGCCAUUCCCCUGAAUUAUAGAUCCAAGAUACUUAAAACUAUCUCUCUUACAAAUAUUCUAGAAUCCAACCUCUCCACCACUUCUUCCUUCUGACUCGAGUCACUAAACUUGCAUUCCAUAUAUUCCGUCUUCGACCUACUCAACCUAAAAUCCUCAAAUUCAAGGGUUUGUCUCCAAACCUUCAGUCUUUUAUUCACACCUUUCCGUGUCUCAUCAAUCAACACUACAUCAUCUGCAAAUAACAUACACCAAGGCACCUCACCUUGAAUACUCCGCAUCAAUACGUUCAUCACCAAAGCAAACAAAAACGGGCUAAGAGUCGAUCCCUUAUGCAAUCCUAUCUCGAUCGAAAAAUGCCCUGAGUCUUCUCCUAGCGUCCUCACUCAGGUCUUUCCUCUAUCAUACAUGUCAUUAAUAGCUAUGAUGUACGCCAUCGGGAUCUCUCUCACCUCCAAGCCUCUCCAAAGAACCUCCUUAAGGACUUCGUCAUACGCUUUCUCCAGGUCAAUGAACACCAUGUGCAAAUCCCUCUUCCUCUUCCUAUACUGCUCCACAAUCUCCUCACCAGGUGGAUUGCCUCUGUCGUUGAGUAACCAAGCAUAAAACCAAACUGGUUCUCUAAAAUAGACACGAACCUCGUCAAUCACCGCUCAACCAGCCUAUCCCAAAUUUUCAUAGUGUGACUCAAUUGUUUAAUACCCAUAUAGUUGUUGCAACUCUGAAUCUGACCAUUGUUUUUAUAUAACGGAAUCAUCGUACUCCAUCUCCAAGCCUCAGGCAUUCUCGUAGUCUUGAAAAUGUCAUUAAACAAAUCAGUCAGCCACCUUAAACCUGCUACACCUGUAUAUACUUCCAAAAAUCCAUCGAUAUCUCGUCAGGCCCCGUUGCUCUACCCCUCCGCAUCCUACGAAUAGCCUCUCUGACCUCCUCAACCUUAAAACAUCUAUAGUAACUGAAGUCACGGCUCCCCUUCGAGCGCUCCAUCUCCCCUAACUCAAUGCCUCUGUUUCUCUUCUCAUUCAAAAGUCUAUGAAAAUACUUCUGCCACCUCUUCUUAAUGUGAACAUCCUCCACCAAAACUCUACCAUCCUCUCCUUUAAUGCACUUCACUUGAUCGAGGUCACGACCUUUCCUCUCCCUAGCCUUAGCUAGCCUAUACAACCUUUUUCCCCCUCCUUUCUCUUUUAACCCCGCAUACAAGCACUCAAACGUUGCUGUCUUAGUAGUCGUAACUGCUACUUUAGGCUUCUUUCGUGCUACUUUUUAAACCUCCCUACUCAUCCGCUUCUCCUCUUCAUCUUUACUCUCAAUCAACUUAACAUACGCCCCCUUCUUAAUCUCCACUUUCUUCUUAACUUCUUCAUUCCACCACCAGUCCCCCAUAUACCGACCUGCCCGACCCUUCGAAAUACCCAACACCUCUCUAGCCGUCUUCGUGAUGCAACUGGCAGCCUUAUCCCUCAUACCAUCCACGUCCCCCAUUCUUGCCAACUUCUCCCCUAUCUCCUAUGCACUAACCGACGUCAAGCUACCCCACCUAAUUCUGGUUUGACCCUCUUUGGCUCUACUCUUCCUGCUCCUCUUAAUAAUCAAGUCCAUCACUAAAAGUCUCUGCUGGGUCGAAAGGUGCUCACUUGAAAUGACUUUACAGUCCUUACACAAAACCCUAUCUUCUUCCCUAAGCAGCAGAAAGUUAAUCUGAGUCUUGGCUAACGCGCUUCCGAAGGUAAUUAGAUGAUCCUCCUUCUUCGGAAAGCUCGAAUUCACAACCACCAGCCCAAAAGCCCUCGCAAAAUCCAACAGAGGAACCCCCUUACCAUUUCUAUCGCUUAAACCAAAACCUUCAUGCACAUCGUCAUAACCUCGUAACACCCCAACACGGUGUAAAUGCAGUGUUGUACGAUAACUUUCAAAACACACAGGAAAUAUAAAGAGCACAUGUACACUAAAUAAGUCUGAUGCGAUGAGCUAACUGCGUUGGUGGGUAAUUGAUCCCUUGACUGGCCCCCCUAAUAGAUAGGAUACAUACAUACAUACAUAUAUAUAUAUAUAAAUAAUUAUUAUAUUAUAAUAUUAUAAUAUAUUAAAAGUGUAAAUACCCUUAGAAAAGUGAUUUGAACUUUUUGUCCUUCAUUAAAAGACUUUCCUUUAGACAAAACUGUCUUUUCACUAUUUUUUAAUUUAUUAUUUAAUUAUUUUUUACUAUAUUAACUAGACUUCCUAAAACAUAUGGGGACUCCUAAAACAUAUGGUAGGAGAAUUAAUUAAUAUUUUUCUUUCUACCAGACUUCCUAAAUUAUAUGGGACUCCUUAAAUAUAUAGUAAGAGAAUUGAUUAAUAUUUUUCUUUCUACUGUUCAAUUAGAAAAAUACUCCUAAAAUAGUACUCUAUUAAGGAAAUACUUCUAAAAAUAUUGAGAUGUACGUUAAACUAGAAAACAAACUGAUUAUCCCAUUGGGAGAAUAUAAUUGAUGUUCAUCUAACUUGAUUCGAUUGCAUGUCUAGAUUAGUGGAUUCUUGAUUUUCUAACCCCCAACUUCUUCACUAUUUUUGUCAGUAUAAUAAAAUUCAACAUGUGUGUAUAUAUACAUCUUCUCUUUUUUCAUUCAAAAUUAUUCUUUCGGGUCAAAAUUUUAGCUCAGACAAGAAUUAGUUGGAUCAAAAUCGAAGUUUUGUAAUCACUAUUAUAUAUAUAUUUUUUAUAGUUUACAGGUUGUUGGUUGGCUUUCAAAAAUUUCUUGUGUAAAGGUUAUGUUUAAUUGUAUUGUUUUGAUAUCUUUAUUAUCUUAUUGUUUUAUUUUAAUUUACAAAUGCUAGAUCACUACUAAAAAAAAAGAGGAAAUCCGACCACAAAAACCUACUACAAGUGGUCAGUUUUUCUCAUUUUCCGACCACAAAACCGACCAAAAUUUUUGAUCGAAAAAGUAGUGGUAGCUUUUUUAAAAACCGACCACAAGUGGUAGGUUUUUUAAAAAUAUAUAUAUUCAUUUUAAAAAUUUAUUAUUAUUUUAUUUAAAUGAAAAAAAAAAUUUAGGAAAAAAUAAACCGACCACAAUUGGUCAAUGUUUUGCAAAGAAAAAUAUNNNNNNNNNNNNNNNNNNNNNNNNNNNNNNNNNNNNNNNNNNNNNNNNNNNNNNNNNNNNNNNNNNNNNNNNNNNNNNNNNNNNNNNNNNNNNNNNNNNNNNNNNNNNNNNNNNNNNNNNNNNNNNNNNNNNNNNNNNNNNNNNNNNNNNNNNNNNNNNNNNNNNNNNNNNNNNNNNNNNNNNNNNNNNNNNNNNNNNNNNNNNNNNNNNNNNNNNNNNNNNNNNNNNNNNNNNNNNUAUAUAUAUAUAUAUAUAUAUAUAUAUAGAAAAAUCGACCACUUAUGUUCAGUUUUUUUGGGAAUUUAAAAAAAUAAUAAAAUUGAAAACCCAAAUACUGCAUGCAACCACAACAGAUAUAUAGAGCAGUAACCAAAAUGAAAAUACAACAACAAAAAAAAAAUAGAAAUUUUCAAAAGUGUACAACACAUACAAAAUAACCAACAAAAGUGAAUAUGAAAAUACUACAACAAUAGUUUCAAACAACAAAAUGUCUAAAUUUAAAGUACAAGACAUACAAAAAUCACAAACUAACAGUCAUCAUCAUUGAAUUCGUCCUCGUCUUCCAUAUCAUCAUCCGUGCUGAAAUCAUCCAGGGGGCCUAGACCUUUUGCAGCCCGAAUUGCAUCACCAGGACAGGAGGAAUAACCCCCCAGUCUGAAUGAAAGAACUGAACUGCUGAUGCAGGAUCCUGAUUUGUGAUGCCGUUGCCUCCUCCGUCUUCUUCUGCCUCACACUCUGUUCAACAUAACUCUGUCUCUGUUUAGCAAGCUCUCUGGUGAGUUGAGAAAUCGUAUUUUGUAGUCUUACAAUGGUUUCUGCAUCAACCGAAGAGAUAGAGUAUGCAGGGCCGGACGAACUCCUAAUAUUAUCGCCAAAAUAUUCAGUGUGGCAUCCGUAGAAAUGUCCUCUAUUUGCAAGACCUGAAGCUUUUGUCCAUACCUCAUUCCGUAAUGCUGGGGUAUUGGGUCACCCUGACUUUCAGGAGGCAAACUACUACGAUACUCACUAAGAAGACGCCUAAAUUCGUCCUAUAUAUAUUCAAGGUAAAUUUAAUACUAACAGUAAAAAAUACUAAAAUUGUUAUAGUUGAAUAAUAUCAACUUUGAGAAAAAAAUUCAUAAAUACAAAAUUUAUUUCUUACGUGGAUAAACUUUGCACGAGGUUCAACCCAGACAUCUUCAUCAUUCGGGUUCAAUUUCUUUCUCAGAUGAGUCACCUCGAAAACCUCACCAGUUGCUAGUUUCCUACCCAUUUCUUUUUUCUGCAUAUGAAAAAAUUAUCAAUGUUCAAAUAAUAAAAAAAAUUAAAUAGAAAUAAAGAAUUAAACUGCAAAAGUUACAUACCAAUUUUUCUUUCACUGCAAGAGUACUUCUAGCACCUGUAGUAUGUAGGGAACCACCCUUGGAUGAUGCCCGGACUCCCUUUCCUUUUUCCCUCAACAAUUGGUAUUCUGGGCUAUUCCAGUGGCGCUGAUACAGUGGCCAUAAGGGUUCAGGAAUCCACUUAGGUUUUACUGAUUUCUUUCGAGCAUAGUCCAAUAGAUCUUUAAAUCUGCCUCUACAUCUUUUAAAAAAGUUCCUCUUUAUAAGAAAUUCAUUUGCAGCAUCCCACCAGUAAAAUCUCUACAACCAAAAUAUAAUAUUCAAUCUUGUGUUCUCACAAAUUGUUAAUAAGUAAGCGAUAAGUUAAAUCCUUACCUUAAAUUCUUCUAACAUUCUAUCCCUGUCAAGUUCUGGAACCUUUUGACAGCUGAUCCAGUAGCCGUUGAAGUGCUGACUAAUGCAUAUUCGCGCCGUUUUUCCAACUCCAGCAUCCGGCUUAAACCUACAACACAAGAUCAAACGAUAAUUUCAUCGGGAACAAUAAAAUAGUAAUGGAGAAAAUGAGUAACGUUAUUAUAUUUAGAAAUCUUACCCUCUCGCAACUGGAACCAUAUAAAUCCUUGCAGAAUCAUCUCUGUCACCUAACUGCCUAAUAAGCGAUGAUGAAUGCACUGGCAUAUGAAAAUAUUUUAAAACUGUGGUAAAUAUUUUAAUAUCAAAAUAUCGUCCUAAACAUAGUAAGCCAAGUAUUUAUUCUCAGGCGGAGGUGAUUUAAUCACCUUAUUUUUUUUUCCCAACUAAUCCUAAUUUUAUAUCAUUUGUUAGGUGUUAUGAUCCUCUUAUUUAAUUAAGAUUGAAUUAUUUUUAACAUUUUUUUGUUUUCGCAAAAAAAUACUUUUAAAAUCAUUUUUAAUGUUCAUGUAUUAACAACAAUUAUUCAUAAAUUUAACAAGUUUUAUAUGAUCGUGCAAAGAGCGAUUAAGUUACCUAGUUAUUGAAUAAAUAUAUUUGAGUGAAGCAUAUUUUUCAUUGAAAGAGAAAUAAUUCUAGGUGAAAAUUAUUUUCCUUAUAGCUAUUUUAAUUUUAAAUUUCGACCACUAUUGCUAACGUCAACAUUCAAAUUAAACAUCAUUUGGAUGUUAUUGUCAAAAUGUAAUAUCUAAAAUUCUCAUCGUAAUACUUUCCAAUUUGCUAAUAUUAUUAUCAAUUCUAAAAAAUUACAACGAUGCAAUAUUUUAGUAAAAGUUAUAAAUAUUAGCAGCAUUGGUUAAGUUAAUAAUUUAUCUGAUUAUUUACGGCAAAAAAAAAAAAAACUUAAUUAACAAACUGUGGCAGCUAAAUAUUUGCCCUCCAUAACAUAAUUCUUCUAUCAAAUGAAUCCAACGAUAUAUUCUUUCCUACUUUUCCCUAAUAAUUAUCUCCCAUAAUUAAGUAACAAACUAAUCCAAUCAAUCCGAUAAUCAUGCUUAAUUAAGCUCUCAAUUGGUACUCAAACCUUCCAUAUUUUCUCUCUCAAUAAUUGACUUCCUGGAUAAUUAUGGUGUGUUGCAGAUUUAAUUAGAAAUAUUAAAUUUUAUAAGAAUUAUAUUUAUUGAAUUAAUUAUAUAUUAAUAAAAUAUAUAGAAAAUUUAUUAGAAAUAUUUAAUUAUAUAAAUUGUUUGGUAAUAUAAUGGUACAAUUUAUAUUUGUGUGUCUUAAUGUAAUUGUAUAAAAGGUACAACAAUGGAAUUAAUUAUAUAUUUCGUAAUAAUCCGAGUAUAUUUCAAAUUUAAUAAGGAAUAGCUAAUUAAACAAAUCGUAUAAUUCAGAAAGAGUAUGUUUUUUCAAGAUAAGAAAUCAACGACAUCCAUAGUAGAUAAAAUAGAUCGAGGAUACCUACUUCAAUCAUUGACAUUUCAAAUUAAUGGAUUCGUUACAACAACAUUUCAUAAUAGAUAUAUAUGUUUCAAUAAUUAUAAAACGGUUAAAUUUAAUUAUGACGAUCAUUCAUUAUAACAAUUUCAUUUUCUCUCUAAUUGAUUUUUCAUGUUAUAUUUUAUUUAUCUGUGACAACAACAUUCUUCUUAUAACAAUAAUAAUAUUCAUUAUAACAGUAUGCUAGCCUUUUGUAAUAGAUGACCCUUCUAUAAAAAACAUACUCAAAUUUAUGUAACAAUAUUUUAAAAGAAAUAUAUUAUAUAUAAAAUAAAAUAUUAAAAUAUUAAAAUAUUUAUGAUAAUCAUCAUUAAUAUAAUGAAUAUAAAAUAAUUUCAAAUAUGAAUAUUGUUUAAAAGGAAAAAUACUGUAUCUAAAUAGUGUCCAUUAAUUAGGGAACAACUACUUUUGAAUUUAUUUAUGCCUUGUCUUUUCAAAUUUUUAUUAAUGAAUUAUGGAAAUCAAUCGAGAAUAUAAAUUUAACAAGUAUUUAAUAUUUAUUUAUAACAUAACAAGUAUAAAAUCUAAUUUGCAUAGUUUUAUGUAUAAAAGCUAAAUAAAAUUUAAAUGUCAAAUGUCAAUUUAUAUUUAUAAUAUCAACUCACUAAUCAUUAUAACAAUUAUAACACUUUCGGGCAAACAUUAUCACUAUAGAAAAAUUUAAUAAUAUAUUAGUCAUUGAUUUGCUGUAAGGCAGAUAAUUUUGUCACACAUCUUGUUAGCUAGCUCAAUUUGAAUUAAUACAUAAAAAUGACCCUAAACUUGAUACCAAAUUAUAAUUUUGAUCUUAAACUUUGAUAGUGCACAAAUAAGAUCUUUAACUAUUCAAAAUCUGAACAAAUAUGACCUCCGAUUUUACAACCCCUUGUGUGAGUCUCACUCGCGCCUACGUGGAAAGGUAAUCCAAUCACACGGUGCCACAUCGUUAAAAGGCUCACUUGGAGAGAGGUCAUAUUUGUGCAAUUUUAAAUAGUUAAAGGUCAUAUUUGUGCACUAUCAAAGUUUUGCUUUUUGUGUUAAAACGACGUCGUUUUUUUUAUUAUUAAUAUAAUAAUUUUUUUAUUUAUUUCUAUAGAAGCAGCACCUAACUUUUUUUAUUUUAAAAAAUUAUUAUUAUUAUUAUUAUUAUUUUAUUUAUUUCUAUAGCAGCAGCACCUAGCUUUUUUUUAAUUAAAAAAAAACAGCCACUAGCAGGUAUCGAACCCGCACAGUAGGCUAAAGGAAGCUUCCAAGAAGAGCAAAUAAUACCACUAGGCUAUCUAAGCGUCUUGUUUCAUAUGGUUCAACAUUAAUAUACGUACAUAAAUAUACAUUUUCUAUCUUAUAUAUAUACAACGUAAUUUUUUUACCGAGGGGGUUCGGGUGAACCUCAUGGCAACCAUGUAGGUCCGCCCCUCGUUAAUUUAAUAACGUUAAGUUAAUAACAUCGUUUAAUUAUGUUUAUUUGAUAACGUUAAUUUAAUAUACUACUAUUACUAUCCUUGAUAACAUUAAUUUAAUAAUGUUUUAUUAAAACUAUUUUUUUUUUUAUUAUUGGUAUAGUUUCAUCUUUAAUUUAAUAUUUAAAUUAAUAAUAUUUAAAUAUAUUAUAUAACUUAAAUUCGUCUUCUGCUUUAUAAUAUAUUUACAUACCCACUCAAUUUUUUCGUAGGCUGACCCGCCUAAUUAAUAAAUCUUCAAUAUUGCUCUUUUUCCGCAAUGACAAAAGAAAUUAGAUGUCAUUUUCAUCUUUGAGCCGAAAAUAAUGAAAAAAUAAUAGUGAAGAGUCAUUUAAUGGUUAUAUUUGUGCAGUUUUGAAUAGUUAAAUGUCAUAUUUGUGCACUGUCAAAGUUUAGGGUCAUAUUUAUGUAUUAUGCCCUUAGAUUUUAAGCUGGACGCGUUCAAUUUUGCGUGUUGAACACGCGUUUUGCCACGUAGGAUUGGAGGUCAUAUUUGUGUAGUUUUAAAUAGUUAAAGGUCAUGUUUGUGCACUGUCAAAGUUUAAGGUCAAAGUUAUAAUUUGGUGUCAAGUUUAAGAUUAUUUUUAUGUAUUAACUCGUUCAGUUUUCUUGCUUCAACUAUGACAUGUAAGAUUUAUGUUAUCCAAGCUUAGACAUAUAUAAGAAGGUGUUUGAAUUGAUUUAUUUUUAAGUAUUUUAGGUCUUUAAAUAUUUUUUAUUUUUAAAAGUGUUUGACAAAAAUAAAAAAUAUUUUUGAGCAUUUUAUUUUGUAACUAAAAAAUAUUAAAUAAGUCCAAAAUUAAAAACAAAUCACUAUCUACUUUUAACUUUUGGCCUUUAAGUUACUAAAAAAAAAAACGAAUUAUCGAAACAUCCUCCAACUUUAAUGAGUUUGUGAAAAUUCAUUUCCAAGUCAGCGAAAAAAAAAUAUAUUGUGUCCAAAGAAUAAAACGAAAGGGCUGCUAAUGAAAAAUAAUGAUUUAUUAAAGUUGUUCCAGCAAUCACGUAUCAUCGAGAAUGACUAGUCACCACUCACCAGUGACAGUUUUCCCUUCAACAAAUAGUUGCAUGAUAUGACAUGACAUUCAUAUGAACUAUGUUAACAAUUUAUAUUCUUUUCCUCCUUCAACUUGUCCUCCAAAUUAUUUUAGUAUUUAAAUUUAAUUUUAAAUUAUUUAUCUCUAUUAAUAUUUUUACAGUGAAUUAUUUUCACCCCUCAAGAUCGAAUACCACUUUCACAACAGAGAGUAUGUUACACUCGCCUAAACAUCAACGCCACAUUAGAGACACGUCAUUGCCACAUAAGAAGUUUAAUUUUUCUAAAAAAAAGUAAAUUCCCCGCACUUUAUUUUUAUAUAUAUUUUUUUAAAAAAAUAAAAAAUAUAUAUUCACUAUANNNNNNNNNNNNNNNNNNNNNNNNNNNNNNNNNNNNNNNNNNNNNNNAUAUAUAUUAGAUAAAAAAAUCACCCCCACCUCCCAUUUUUUUUUUCUUCACACCUCCCAUCCACCCCGCCCCCUUCCCUACAACGCAGCCCCUUCCCCCUUUCUAUCUUCUUCAAAUCAGCCCACCUCUCCCUCACCUUUAUUUUCUAUCUUCUUCAAACUUAAAGCAUAUUACCAAAUCAAGAAACAACCAAUUCAAGAAACAACAAUUCAAGAAACACCAAUUAUUCCUUCAUCAAACCACCAAUUCAAGAAACUCAAAUUUCUGGCACAACUUUACAACAUCAUCAGAAAACUCCAAUAAUCAAUUAAGACAUCAAUCAUGAAUUCAAUGAACUCAUUUUUUUUUUGUUUUCAAGUUUUUUCGAGCUUUAACAAUGGUGGAUACAAAAUUAAACUAGCAAAAUUCAUACCAAUCAAACUCAUAAUUCAAGUGCAACUUCACACCAUCAUCAGAAAACCCCAAUAAUCAAUUUGAAUACCACCCACAAAUUUGACAAACUCAUUUUUUUGGUCUUCAAGCUUUUUCAAGGUUCAAUAAUGAUGGAUACAAAGGGCAAUCUCAUAAAUCCAACAAUAGUUUUCUUGAAAAAUCACUUAAGUAAUUUAGUUCAACAAUCAUGUAUUGAAAGAAUCUUUUUUUACAAAAAUAUUUUCUAAACCCAUUAAAAUUCAUAACUUUUCACACAUAUUUUUUUUUUUCUUUCUUGAAGAAAUUAAUGAAGAUAAUAGAAGUGAAGAUGGAGAGUUAGAAGAAGGAGAAAAGAAAUUGGGGUGGGCUUUAAGAAGAAAUACAAGAAAACGGGAGUGGGGGGUGAGGGCGGCCUGGGGGAUAUGAAGAAGAUGAAGAUAGGGUGGGGUGAGAGGUAAGGGGUGGGUUUAUAUAUAUAUGUUAAAAAAAGUAGGACCAUAUCAGUUUUAAAAUUAAAAAAGGUUCUUUUAAAAAAGUGGGAUCAUAUCAGUUUUAAAAUUAAAAAAUGUUCUUUUUUUUUCUUUUCUUUUUUUAAAAAUCCACGUCAGCUUGAGGGGUGAAAAUAAUUCACUUUAAAGAUGUUAAGAGGGUUAAAUAAAUGAAAGUUAAGUUUAAGUGUUGAAGUGAGUUUAAAUGACAAGUUUAUCGGGGAAAAAUAUGUCUUUUCUCAUUUAUAUUUGGAAAAAAAUGAAUUUUUGUCCGUGAACUUUUUGACUUUUUUCGUAUUAGCAUCUCAAUUAGUUCAUGUACAUACUGACUCCCUUAUUCAUUCACAAAUGAUUUCAAUUAAGUACAACUCUCUUAUUGGAAAGUGUAUUGCACAUGCCAUGACAUGUCAGUAUUUGUGCUUAAUUGAUAACUAUUUAUGAAUGAAUAAAGAGUUCAAUAGGUACAUGAGCUAAUUGAGGUGUCAAUAUGAAAAAGUCAAAAAGUUAAGGAGCCUGUCUAUGUAUUUUGUCUUUAUAUUUUUUAGUUUCAAUUUAUUUAUUUAUCUAAUUUUAAUUUGAUAUAAAAUUUAAAAAAAUAAAAAGAAAAUUUUAAUUUUAUAAUGUUAAACUAGAAAUAUGAAUAAUGUAUUAAAAUGUAUUUUGACCUUGUGAUCUUAAAAAUAUCAUAUAAAAAUUAGAAAAAAUUUAAAAGUUGUUAAAAAAAAAAGAGACAAGUUUUUAAAACAAAUUAUUAAGGAAAUUACUACAAAUUGAAACUGAGAGAAAUUAAACUCUCAAUUAUAUUCAGUUCCCUUUCACAAAUUGUAGACUAUUCGACUCUUCUUCCCAAUAUAAAACCCACCCAAAUUAUUCCUCGAUUCUCAUCAAUACUCAAAAUGGGACUCUCCAAUUCCGUAAUUGUUUGUUUUCUAAUUACCUUUGCUAUAUUUCACUCGUCACAAGCUCAAGAUUCUCCCCAAGAUUAUCUUAACGCUCACAAUGUAGCUCCUAGACAAGUUGGUGCCGGCCCUAUGACAUGGGACAAUAAGUAGAGGCCUUUGCCCAAAGUUAUGCCAAUCAGAGAAUUGGGGACUGCCGGAUGCAGCACUCCAGUGGCCCUUACGGCGAAAACCUAGCUGCUGGCUACCCUCAGCUCUAUGCUGCUGGAGUCGUGAAAAUGUGGGUCAAUGAGAAUUAAUUGUACAAUUAUAAUACAAAUACUUGUGCACCAGGAAAAGUAUGUGAACACUAUACUCAGGUUGUCUGGCAAAACUCGGUACGUCUUGGUUGUGCUAGGGUACGUUGCAAUGACGGGUGGUAUUUUAUAAUUUGCAAUUAUGAUCCACCAGGUAACUGGUGAGGUAACGUCCCUAUGGUGAUCUUGAAGAACAACAACUGGCCUUCGAUUCCAAGUUGGAACUUCCCAGUGAUGUCUAAGAGUAAAUAAAAUCAUGAAUAAUGCUUAAUUCACGUGUUAAUGAAAAUAAAACCCAGUACUAUUUGCUAUAUCUGUUGGAUGUUAUCUUACUAGCUCAGUUGGAUAAUUAUCCAAUGGUGCAGAUCUGGUGACUUGUUAAUCAAGGGGAAAUAUUUUGUCUACAUUGAUAUUCAUAUGGACCCUUGCAUGUUGUUUAAUUUAAUCUAAUCACUUUUUAUAUGAGUAUUUUGACUCCUUUAUUUGAUUCAUGUUCAUGUUUUACAACUGUUGGCACUAUGGGGUGCGGGUUGUCUUUUCUAGUUUAAAUCUAUAUACGGACAAUAUACUAUUUUUUUACACACUAUUAAUUAAGUCAUCAAGAAAUAAUUCAUAACAACAAAUAAAUUAUUAUAAGGGAUAAUUAUGUAAUUUCGCCAAUAUUAACUCCUAAUUAUCUUAUUUAGCCUAAUUUUAAUUAAUUAUAAUUAAUAGUCUCUUCUUG